Molecule: long non-coding RNA, 223 nt
Organism: Octopus sinensis (East Asian common octopus)
Lineage: Eukaryota; Metazoa; Mollusca; Cephalopoda; Octopoda; Octopodidae
Exons: 3
Source: RefSeq, a predicted model, not a curated record
UGUGUGUGUGUGUGUGUGUGUGGUGUGUGUGUGUGUGUGUGUGUACACCACACCCCCUGCGAGAACUGAAUAUCUGACCUCAAAUCAAGAGUCACCACACAGGUCAUCUUUUGACAAGGACACAACACAAUACUGACCACUCCAAAAUAUUCCAUUUCUUUAUUCUUGAUGGACUUAACUCUCCUCUCCACUUCCACUCUCCUCAAUUACUAUUAGUCUUAUC